UAGUAACGGCGAGUGAAGCGGCAACAGCUCAAAUUUGAAAUCUGGCCUCGGCCCGAGUUGUAAUUUGCAGAGGAUGCUUCUGGCGCGGUGCCUUCCGAGUUCCCUGGAACGGGACGCCACAGAGGGUGAGAGCCCCGUAUGGUCGGACACCAAGCCUGUGUGAAGCUCCUUCGACGAGUCGAGUAGUUUGGGAAUGCUGCUCUAAAUGGGAGGUAAAUCUCUUCUAAAGCUAAAUACCGGCCAGAGACCGAUAGCGCACAAGUAGAGUGAUCGAAAGAUGAAAAGCACCUUGAAAAGGGGGUUAAAUAGUACGUGAAAUUGUUGAAAGGGAAGCACUUGUGACCAGACUUGGGCCGGGCGGCUCAUCAGGGGUUCUCCCCUGUGCACUCCGCCCGGCACAGGCCAGCAUCGGUUCUCGUGGGGGGAUAAGACCGUCAGGAACGUAGCACCCUCCGGGGUGUGUUAUAGCCUGGCGGACGAUACCCCCGUGGGGACCGAGGUUCGCGCUCCGCAAGGAUGCUGGCGUAAUGGUCACCAGUGACCCGUCUUGAAACACGGACCA
Molecule: small RNA, 562 nt
Filed under: Diaporthe sp. 1 NVL-2017
Lineage: Eukaryota; Fungi; Ascomycota; Sordariomycetes; Diaporthales; Diaporthaceae
Description: eukaryotic LSU rRNA
Rfam family: Eukaryotic large subunit ribosomal RNA
Source: RNAcentral